GAUGAACGCUAGCGGGAGGCUUAAUACAUGCAAGUCGAGGGGUAACAUGGAAGCUUGCUUCUGAUGACGACCGGCGAACGGGUGAGUAACGCGUACAUAACCUACCUUAUACUGGGGCACAUACACUGGAAACGGAGUAAAUUCCCCAUAGUAUCUACGGAUUAAAGCUACGGCGGUAUAAGAUGGAUGUGCGUACUAUUAGAUAGUUGGUGAGGUAACGGCUCACCAAGUCGACGAUAGUUAGGGGGCGUGAGAGCGUGACCCCCCACACGGGUACUGAGACACGGACCCGACUCCUACGGGAGGCAGCAGUAAGGAAUAUUGGACAAUGGGCGGAAGCCUGAUCCAGCCAUCCCGCGUGCAGGAUGACUGCCCUAUGGGUUGUAAACUGCUUUUAUAUACCAAGAAACGCCCUGUAUUUAUAGGGCCUGACGGUAGUAUAUGAAUAAGCACCGGCUAACUCCG
This 465-nucleotide ribosomal RNA is filed under the name uncultured Saprospiraceae bacterium. RNAcentral's name for it is "bacterial SSU rRNA". It matches the Rfam family "Bacterial small subunit ribosomal RNA", at positions 28 to 505 of the family's 1533-position model. Lineage: Bacteria; Pseudomonadati; Bacteroidota; Saprospiria; Saprospirales; Saprospiraceae. The record is from RNAcentral.